Molecule: ribosomal RNA, 513 nt
Filed under: uncultured bacterium
Lineage: Bacteria
Description: partial 16S ribosomal RNA
Rfam family: Bacterial small subunit ribosomal RNA
Source: RNAcentral
GACGAACGCUGGCGGCGUGCUUAACACAUGCAAGUCGAACGAAAAGAGGGAAAGAGCUUGCUCUUUCCGGAAUUGAGUGGCAAACGGGUGAGUAACACGUAAACAACCUGCCUUCAGGAUGGGGACAACAGACGGAAACGACUGCUAAUACCGAAUAAGUUCCAAGAGCCGCAUGGCCCAUGGAAGAAAAGGUGGCCUCUACCUGUAAGCUAUCGCCUGAAGAGGGGUUUGCGUCUGAUUAGCUGGUUGGAGGGGUAACGGCCCACCAAGGCGACGAUCAGUAGCCGGUCGGAGAGGAUGAACGGCCACACUGGGACUGAGACACGGUCCAGACUCCUACGGGAGGCAGCAGUGGGGAAUCUUCCGCAAUGGGCGAAAGACUGACGGAGCAACGCCGCGGGAGGGAUGACGGCCUUCGGGUUGUAAAACUCUGUGAUCCGGGACGAAAAGGCAGAGUGCGAAGAACAAACUGCAUUGACGGUACCGGAAAAGCAAGCCACGGCUAACUACGUG